This 468-nucleotide ribosomal RNA is filed under the name uncultured bacterium. Its description in RNAcentral is "partial 16S ribosomal RNA". It matches the Rfam family "Bacterial small subunit ribosomal RNA", at positions 28 to 507 of the family's 1533-position model. The record is from RNAcentral.
GACGAACGCUGGCGGCUUGCUUAACACAUGCAAGUCGAACGGAAAGGCCCUGCUUUUGUGGUGUGCUCGAGUGGCGAACGGGUGAGUAACACGUGAGUAACCUGCCCUUUACUUUGGGAUAACUUCAGGAAACUCGGGCUAAUACCGGAUAGGAGCUCCUGCUGCAUUGGGGGGGUUGUAAAGUUUAGGCGGUUUGGGAUGGACUCGCGGCUUAUCAGCGUGUUGGUGGGGUAGUGGCUUACCAGGGCUUUGACGGGUAGCCGGCCUGAGAGGGUGACCGGCGACAUUGGGACUGAGAUACGGACCAGACUCCUACGGGAGGCAGCAGUGGGGAAUAUUGCACAAUGGGCGGAAGCCUGAUGCAGCAACGCCGCGUGCGGGAUGACGGCUUUCGGGUUGUAAACCGCUUUCGCCUGUGACGAAGCGUGAGUGACGGUAAUGGGUAAAGAAGCAACGGCUAACUACGUG